GCCCCUGUAGCUCAAUCGGACAGAGCAGCACCCUUCUAAGGUGAUGGUUGGGGGUUCGAGUCCCUCCAGGGGUA
This 74-nucleotide transfer RNA is filed under the name Chloroflexota bacterium. RNAcentral's name for it is "tRNA-Arg". It matches the Rfam family "tRNA". From Rfam's summary of the family: Transfer RNA (tRNA) molecules are approximately 80 nucleotides in length. Their secondary structure includes four short double-helical elements and three loops (D, anti-codon, and T loops). Further hydrogen bonds mediate the characteristic L-shaped molecular structure. tRNAs have two regions of fundamental functional importance: the anti-codon, which is responsible for specific mRNA codon recognition, and the 3' end, to which the tRNAs corresponding amino acid is attached (by aminoacyl-tRNA synthetases). tRNAs cope with the degeneracy of the genetic code in two manners: having more than one tRNA (with a specific anti-codon) for a particular amino acid; and 'wobble' base-pairing, i.e. permitting non-standard base-pairing at the 3rd anti-codon position. The record is from RNAcentral. Lineage: Bacteria; Bacillati; Chloroflexota.